CAAGUCGAACGGUAACAUAAGAAAAGCUUGCUUUUCUUGAUGACGAGUGGCGGACGGGUGAGUAAGAUUUGGGAAACUACCUGAUAGAGGGGGACAACAGUUGGAAACGACUGCUAAUACCGCAUACAGCCUCAGGGUGAAAGAAGCGAUUCGCUAUCAGAUGUGCCCAAACGGGAUUAGCUAGUUGGUGAGGUAACGGCCCACCAAGGCGACGAUGCAUAGCCGGCCUGAGAAGGCGGACGGCCACAUUGGGACUGAGACACGGCCCAAACUCC
This 275-nucleotide ribosomal RNA is filed under the name uncultured bacterium. RNAcentral's name for it is "partial 16S ribosomal RNA". It matches the Rfam family "Bacterial small subunit ribosomal RNA", at positions 58 to 339 of the family's 1533-position model. The record is from RNAcentral.